Molecule: long non-coding RNA, 1716 nt
Organism: Rosa chinensis
Lineage: Eukaryota; Viridiplantae; Streptophyta; Magnoliopsida; Rosales; Rosaceae
Exons: 3
Source: RefSeq, a predicted model, not a curated record
CUGAAUCAAUUUAUUAUAUGAAAGUGAGGCAUGGACAUAAAAGAGUCAAUAUAAACCAAGUUAAAGUGACUACAUUUAUAAACUACACUUGUACCUUUCUUGGAAACAAUGUCAGGUCUUUAUCCUCAAUGAUGUCUCUCAUGUAACGCAUAACAAAGUACCCGCACUCCUUAUUAGUGGGUUGGGGAGGAAUACCCUAAAAACAAAUGAUGUGUAAACAAGUCGAAAAAUGAACCAAAUCCAGUAUUUUCAAGACAAAAAUAUACUUAGGUGCAUGAAACUUACGGCCAAAUUUUUCCACAAGACUGAACUCCGACCUUUCUUCUGCCUUUCAGCAUUGAACAUAGCUAUUGCACUAUACCAGAACAAGAAAAUUAAGACUUCAGAAAAACUAAAGAAGGCAACAAUUAUUUUUAAAUAGAUUUAAUGAUCUCAAUAUGUAUGAUCAAUACAAGUGACUUACGAUUCCACAAUCUUCAUCCAAUCUCCGGUGGGCAAGCGUCUUUUAAGAGGAUCCAUAAAAUAGGCAGUGCUUUGGUCUGGAUCGAUAAUUGUCAACAUCCAGUGAUCACUACAUACAUAAAGUAUAUAUGUUGAACAGAGCUAAAAUUAAUUGCAAAGAAUAAACGAAAAAAAAAACCUUCAUGGACUUACCCCGAGUUGAAUGGCAACAUGAACAUCUGUCCAGGUUUUGCAGUUACAAGCCUAUCUCUAAUGUGUUUGGCCCUAACAGUUCCAGUUCCAGACCCUUUUGCACCAAUCAGUGAAGGAUCAACAAAUGCAACCAUGUCCACCAUUUUAUAAGCAACCAUCUGCUCAUAGAGUUCCAGAAACUUCCCUCAUGCUUGCAAGUCGUCGAACAUCUGAUCCCAUUAUAAAGGUCUUGCGAGAGAAUCCAAAGACUUCAGGUUCUAUGUGUAAGCUGAUGGUACGUCCAUCUCUGAAUUUGUCCUCACCCCAUUGGCAUAACAUCUUCAAUGAUUCUGGUAAUUUAGAUGCCAUUGAUGCCAUGCUAAAUUGAACCUCUGAGUCUUGUUCCUCUAUCUCCUUCUUUUUCCUCUUCUUCUCAGCAUUAUCCAAGACAGGUUUCUAGAACAAAUAUAAAUGCAAGGGAAUGGGACCUUUGCUUUUUCCUCAAUCGCCUCAUAGAUGGAAACACGCAUAUUGCCAUCGCCGAGUGGAGCUCCAUGAAUAACUUGGGAGCUAUCAUGACACUCCAUAACAGUGGCAUAGGCCACAAUAUGGUCAACAGAACCUAAUGCCAACUGGCAUUUAAUCUCAGCACUAGGUGACUGAAAAGAAGAAAAAAAAAUAUUAGACUUUGUGCCUAUAUCUUUGAAUUUAUAACAGAUCCUAACGUAAUGAAACAACCAUAUCAAUCCUACCAUUAUUGGUGUAAAGUGGAACUAACUUACCUUUUUUGAAGCGGAAAGCAAUGUCAAAUCCACAAAUUCUGCUCCAUCCUGAAGCUCUAGCUCCUUAGGUACAGCAUUGUCUUCCAAAGUCUCUUUAACAGUCUCUCUCACAUGCUUAUCCAAUGCAGGCUGGACAACUACUUUGUCAACCAUGUUUGUCAACUCAGUAGGGUCCUUGGAGCAUGGCGAUACAUCCAAAAGGCCUUCCUUCACGACCUUUGAUCCCUUCUUUGUACGAUGCAUGGUCUUUUGUUCAAUAAGAUCAAAAGCUCCUAUCACUACCUUGAAACCAACAUGGUCC